This 2055-nucleotide long non-coding RNA is filed under the name Marmota monax (woodchuck). Lineage: Eukaryota; Metazoa; Chordata; Mammalia; Rodentia; Sciuridae. The record is from RNAcentral.
AGUAUCUGUUAUUUAAUUAUAAGGAUUUAUUAUGGAAUGGGAGGAGGCAUACUAACAAAUCCCAUCUGGGGCUAAUUAAAAAGAACUGUGUUCCUGAGUAUAUGUGGUUUUUCUUUUUUUCAAGAGGGGAACAGAUCCAGCAACAUUUUGGCUCAUGAACAUGGCACGGUUUAAUAGGAGCCAGGUGACUGAGACAUCUCUGUGCUAUUUCUGAGAAAGCAAGCUGGUCCAUCACCUUUAAUGCAGGAGAAAUGAAGUUUCCUUCCAGCAUUAGCCCUGGUGCGUGGAUUUGUACCUGUGCCUAGAUUUGUCACACUUUUUUUAAAAUGGACAUUCCCAAUGAAAAUAUCCUUUUGGAACAGAGGGAAUAAAAAGACACCCAAAUUACUGCUUUGGGAAUAAAUGCAUCAGUUUGCAAUAAAUUUACAGGGUUUCCAAGAGUGGCCACCCACAGAGGAAGCAACAUCUUGUCCCGCUGUCACAACGGGAGAGCACAGUGCUUGAGCACAAGGCAAACAGAAUGUUCCUUAUGCCUAGAGGGAAGGUACAGAGUUAGACUGGACUCACUAGCGAUAGAUCUCCUCAGGCCUAGGAAUAUGUGAGCUGGUUUUAUGCAGGGCCCUAGGUGUACUUGUUCUUGUUCUGUGACACUUUAGCAAUUUCGAAACAGGCACAUUAUCAGAAAAAUAUGAAUCUCUACAGAGAUUUGUUGCAUAUUUUCAGAUCACAAGUAGAAUAAAUUAGUAUGUUUUAAGACUAAUAAAGAAACUCUAUUCUUGGAAAUACAUUUAGUUGUUCUCUAUUAUCCAUGAAAGAUAAUAUUUAUCAAUUUAUUCACUCAUGCAUUCAUUUAUUCAUCAAAGGUUAACCAUGUGAGCUGGGUGCAGACACAUGUAAUCCCAGCAAUUUGGGAGGCUGAGGCAGGAGGAUUACAAGUUGGAGGUCAACCUGGGCAACAGGAGGCCCUGUCUCAAAAUAAAAAAAUAAAAAAGUCUGGGGAAGUGGCUCAGUGAUAGUGUCUCUGGGUUCAAUCCUCGGUACCAAAAAGAAAAAAAAAGUGUGACACAGGCCCCCCAUGUAUCAGGAUUUGUGAUACAUGUUUGGGACUCAGAUACUGUGGUUUAGAUAUGAGGUGUCCACCAAAAGCUCAAGUGUAAGACAAUACAAGAAAGUCUAGAGGUAAACAGUAAGUUAUGAGAGGCGUAAUCUAAUCUGUGUAUUAAUCCAGUAAUGAAGAUUAACUGGGUGGUAAAUGUAAGUGGGUGGGGAGUGGAUGCAGGAGGUGGAUCAUGGGCAGGGGGGGUGUGUUUGAGUUUUUUUAUUUUGCCCUAGUGAGCAGAGCAUGCACACCCCACCACCCCUUUCCUGUUAGCCAGGUUCUGAACUGCUUUCCUCCUCCAUGCCCUUCCACCAUGACACUCUAUGGUGGAAGAGCAACGGAGCUGGCCAUCUAAGAACUGAGACCUCUGAAACUGUAAGCCAAAAUAAACACUUCCUCCUCUUCAUUGUUUUUGUCAGGUCUUUUGGUCAUGGCAGCACAAAGCUGACUGAAACAACAGAGAAGAACAAGAGACAGACUGAAUCCACCCUCAGAUAUAGCUCAAAGACAAGGAGAGAUUCAUAGAAUUAAGUAAUUGUGGCAUAGUGCACUUCUAGGAGCCACGAGAAGCAACACCUAACCAGCCUGCAGGCAUCUGGGAAAGCCUCCUGGGGGAGGUGUCCUCUGAGCUGGGCUCUGCAGCAGAAUCAGGAGUUAGUCUCCAGAAAUUUGUAUUUACAUAAUAUCCCUCUGCUGUGUAACACGAGAAGAGACUAAACAACUAAGUGGAUAUUAUGUGUGGGGAUGGAGACAUUGGGGUGGUAAGUAAAGAAUGAGAACCUAAAUAUUUAAACUGGAAUAUUCAAGAGAGAGUACAGGCCAGUGCAGGCUCUGGCUUCAGUUGACAGAGGUUGGAUCUCUGCCACUUCCUAGGUGUAUGAACCUGAGUAAGUUGCUUAGCAUUUGUCAGAUCCAGAACCUCACAGGGUCUUUAGGCUUCAAUGAAAGAAUAUGUG